AGAGUUUGAUCCUGGCUCAGGACGAACGCUGGCGGCGUGCUUAACACAUGCAAGUCGAACGGAAAGGCCCUUCGGGGUACUCGAGUGGCGAACGGGUGAGUAACACGUGGGUGAUCUGCCCUGCACUUUGGGAUAAGCCUGGGAAACUGGGUCUAAUACCGAAUAUGACCAUGCACUUCCUGGUGUGUGGUGGAAAGCUUUUGCGGUGUGGGAUGGGCCCGCGGCCUAUCAGCUUGUUGGUGGGGUAAUGGCCUACCAAGGCGACGACGGGUAGCCGGCCUGAGAGGGUGACCGGCCACACUGGGACUGAGAUACGGCCCAGACUCCUACGGGAGGCAGCAGUGGGGAAUAUUGCACAAUGGGCGCAAGCCUGAUGCAGCGACGCCGCGUGAGGGAUGAUGGCCUUCGGGUUGUAAACCUCUUUCAGCACAGACGAAGCGCAAGUGACAGUAUGUGCAGAAGAAGGACCGGCCAACUACGUGCCAGCAGCCGCGGUAAUACGUAGGGUCCGGGCGUUGUCCGGAAUUACUGGGUGUAAAGAGCUCGUAGGUGGUUUGUCGCGUUGUUCGUGAAAACUCACAGCUUAACUGUGGGCGUGCGGGCGAUACGGGCAGACUUGAGUACUGCAGGGGAGACUGGAAUUCCUGGUGUAGCGGUGGAAUGCGCAGAUAUCAGGAGGAACACCGGUGGCGAAGGCGGGUCUCUGGGCAGUAACUGACGCUGAGGAGCGAAAGCGUGGGGAGCGAACAGGAUUAGAUACCCUGGUAGUCC
This 771-nucleotide ribosomal RNA is filed under the name uncultured bacterium. RNAcentral describes it as "bacterial SSU rRNA". It matches the Rfam family "Bacterial small subunit ribosomal RNA", at positions 8 to 796 of the family's 1533-position model. The record is from RNAcentral.